RNAcentral lists this transfer RNA (69 nucleotides) under Sphaerodactylus townsendi. Its description in RNAcentral is "tRNA-Ala". The record is from RNAcentral. Lineage: Eukaryota; Metazoa; Chordata; Lepidosauria; Squamata; Sphaerodactylidae.
GCCGUGGCUCAGUAAGAGAGCAUCUGCUCAGCAUGUGGAAGGUCACCGGUUCGAUCCUGGGCAGCAGCA